CCUACGGGUGGCUGCAGUGGGGAAUAUUGGACAAUGGGGGGAACCCUGAUCCAGCCAUGCCGCGUGUGUGAAGAAGGCCCUCGGGUUGUAAAGCACUUUCAGUGAGGAAGAACGCCUGGUGGUUAAUACCCAUCAGGAAAGACAUCACUCACAGAAGAAGCACCGGCUAACUCCGUGCCAGCAGCCGCGGUAAUACGGAGGGUGCGAGCGUUAAUCGGAAUUACUGGGCGUAAAGCGCGCGUAGGUGGCUUGAUAAGCCGGUUGUGAAAGCCCCGGGCUCAACCUGGGAACGGCCUCCGGAACUGUCAAGCUAGAGUGCAGGAGAGGAAAGUAGAAUUCCCGGUGUAGCGGUGAAAUGCGUAGAGAUCGGGAGGAAUACCAGUGGCGAAGGCGGCCUUCUGGACUGACACUGACACUGAGGUGCGAAAGCGUGGGUAGCAAACAGGAUUAGAUACCCCAGUAGUC
This 465-nucleotide ribosomal RNA is filed under the name Vreelandella stevensii. RNAcentral's name for it is "partial 16S ribosomal RNA". It matches the Rfam family "Bacterial small subunit ribosomal RNA", at positions 338 to 795 of the family's 1533-position model. Lineage: Bacteria; Pseudomonadati; Pseudomonadota; Gammaproteobacteria; Oceanospirillales; Halomonadaceae. The record is from RNAcentral.